AACGAACGCUGGCGGCAGGCUUAACACAUGCAAGUCGAGCGCCCCGCAAGGGGAGCGGCAGACGGGUGAGUAACACGUGGGAACGUGCCCAAAGGUACGGAACAACUCCGGGAAACUGGAGCUAAUACCGUAUGUGCCCGCGAGGGGAAAGAUUUAUCGCCUUUGGAUCGGCCCGCGUCUGAUUAGCUAGUUGGCGGUGUAAUGGACCACCAAGGCGACGAUCAGUAGCUGGUCUGAGAGGAUGACCAGCCACACUGGGACUGAGACACGGCCCAGACUCCUACGGGAGGCAGCAGUGGGGAAUAUUGGACAAUGGGCGCAAGCCUGAUCCAGCCAUGCCGCGUGAGUGAUGAAGGCCUUAGGUUUGUAAAGCUCUUUCGCCGAGGACGAUAAUGACGGUACUCGGAUAAGAAGCCCCGGCUAACUUCGUGCCAGCAGCCGCCGUAA
This 447-nucleotide ribosomal RNA is filed under the name uncultured bacterium. RNAcentral's name for it is "partial 16S ribosomal RNA". It matches the Rfam family "Bacterial small subunit ribosomal RNA", at positions 29 to 523 of the family's 1533-position model. The record is from RNAcentral.